GGCCCCUCCUAAGGCCGCUUCCUGUUCUGCUCCGUGCCGCCUCGGUCCCCCAGAGAACACCCAUUCCCUGAGACUCCUUCCCCUCUUCCCACCUCCUCCUCCCCCCUUCCCUGACAUUCCCGGCGCGUCUCAGACUUCGGUCCUUCCGCUUCUCCUGGGUCACUUCCUGGGCAGCAGGCCCUGCGGACGCUCUCCUCCAGGAGCCGGAGAAGCUAGGCCAGGGACGCCGACCCACCACCAACUCUGAAGGAAGGGAGGGGGCUCCCAGAGAACCCGACUUACCUUGACACCACAGGAUCCCUACAUUUGAGGUCAUGAAAUACUGCUGGCCAGAUAUUUGUGGAAUCCUAACAGGAGAGCCUUUGAAUACCAGGCUAUGGAAUUCAGCAACCAGUGGAAAAUGAAAUCUGCUAUCUGUGGGGCAGACCCACGUUUAUGCCAUGGAUCACAGAGCAUUUAAGGAGGUCUACAGAGGAAGAUUCAACUGCUCAGGGAAGGCAGAAGAAGACGCUGAGACCCAAAGGGAUUGUGUUUUGACCAGUGUUUUAUGACAGUUGCCAGAAUCUGAACCCAAGACAACUGACUACAGAUGUGGUAGUCUAACUAAUGCAAGAUACUAUCUCAAUUAAUGAGAUAUUUUAUCAUCAUCAUCAUCAUCUCUCUCUGUCUAGCCUUUGCCCUUUCAACAAUAUGGCACCAGACUUAGCAAUGGUAGGCAGCCCAAGAGCAUCUAUUCAAACCCCUCAUUUUACAGAUGGGAAACUGAGGCUCAUGGGGAUUAAGUGACUUGCCCAGUUUCAUGAGUAAUGUGAUGGGUAGAUCCAUCCCAAUGAGAGCAGCAGAGCCCAUGAGUCAGACUGUUAGCAGACUGCAUAAAUGACGAUACAGAUAGGAAAGGUAGAACUGUUGUGGGAUAGAGGAGUUGGCCAAUCUCUAGGGUAAGCCAACUAGCUGACAUAUUCCAGACCUUGGAGACCUCUGAAAGCCCUUUCGAGGAUAUGUCACAGACUCUCAGUGGCAAACAGCUCAUCUUAUGUCUAAAAGUCAGUUAUGGUACCUGGAAAACAAGAUACAUGGCCAUCAGUUGCUGACAAACCAAGACUUAAUGAUUUUUUUUCUCUGAAAAUCUGUGUGGGAUGUUUGACAUCACCUCUGUGGUAAAGGGCUGGCAGAGAAACUACCAGCCAGGCAGCUUAGAAAGAGAGAACCUCAGAGCUGAAAGAGUGCUUAGGAGUCAGCAGGGCAGAGAUCUAAAGCUGGGAGGGUCUUACGAUGCUAUUAGUUCCUCGCCAUCAUUUUAUAAAGGAGAAAUUGGGGUCCAGAGGGAGGGAGAGAUGUGCCUAGUAUCACACAGCUAGUGUUAGGAGCAGGAUUUGAAUGCAGGGCUUCUUGAUGCCAUGGCCAGCAAUCUAUCUACUAUGGUCAUCUGGCCUUAUUGCUCUCAUAAUGCAGAAGAGAAAACUAAGGCUCAAUACAUCAGAGUGAGUUCCCUCAGAUCCCAUGAGAUCCAGCACUCUAGCCUAAGCUUUUCCUACUUGCACUCUAUCGGCUCUCAUGGCUAGCAUUUGGGGAAAGCAUAGUGAUGGCAGAAUCAGGAGGUAACAUCAUGUGCUAGAAUGCCUGGACUGCCUUCCUAACGGUAGUCAUGAAUAAGUGUUGGCCUUUGUGUGUACUCUUUCCCUAUCUCCAACUAAGUCCCGUCCCCAUUUUCAGGUGAUUAGAAAUGCUUUUUAAAAUUUAAUGUGAUUUUAUCCUCUAAAAUUCUGGUGAGAGUAGCCUAAGAGAUGUGAAGCAUGAUAAAAGGGACAAUACUUUUUAAAAAAAAGUUUAUUUAUUUGUUUAAUUAAUAUAGAAUAUUUUCCCCCUGAUUACAUGGUUCAUGUUCUUUCCCUUCCCUCCUCCCACCCCCUCCCAUAGCCAAUGAGCAAUUCUGCUGGGUUUUACACGUGUCACUGAUCCAGACCUAUUUCCAUAUUAUUGAUAUUUGCACUAGGGUGAUAAUUUAGAGUUUACAUCCCCAUCAUAUCCCCAUUGAACCAUGUGAUCAAGCAGUUGUUUUUCUUUUGGGUUUCUGCUCCCACAGUUCUUUCUCAGGAUGUGGAUAGCAUUCUUUCUCAUAAGUCCAAAAGGGACAAUUCUUAACAACUAUUCACAGUUUUUUUAGACCUUUAUUUUAUGUCUUAGUAUCAAUUCUAAGACAGAAUAGUGGCAAGGGUUAGGCAAUUGAGAUUUACUGACUUGCCCAUCCAGAUAGGAAGUGUCUGAGUUUACAUUUGAACUCAGGACCUCCCGACUCCAGGUCUAGUGCUCUGUCCACUAGGUGGCCCUAACAGCUCUUUAAUAGUUGUCUCUAAGGUUUCAUAGGAUGAUCUUGACUGGAUUAUCUGGAGCAGAGAAAAUUCUUCAUAAACCCUAUAGAAUGGAAGUUGUGUAAUUAUUAAUAUGACUCGAUUACUCAUUUGCCCCCACCCUCACCCUCCCAGAAUAUGACCUCCCCCAAGCCAGACAUCUCUUCAAUGCCCUCCAUGGUCAUUCUGGACCUUCCUGGGAUGUUCCUCUGACCUUUUUAUCCUUUCCUCUUCCCCAUGAAGUCUUCUCUUACUACACCAGCCCAUCCCUUCCUAACUGCUCCUAAAAUGAUCAUAGAUAGAGUCACACAUUUUGAGCUGGAAAGGACUGAAGAGGUUACCUAACCCAGCACCCUAAUGUUCCAGAAGAGGAAAGUCCAUGGUGGAGAAAGAACCUAUUCAAGGUCCCACAGGUACUAGGAUAAGGAUUUGAACAUAGAUUUUUGAUCCCAAAUCCAGUAUUCACUCAUUCAUUUCCUAGCUCAGUCAAUAAACACUGAACAAUGUAUCAUGAUUCCCACAAUAUGAGGGAGUUUAACAAGAUGACUUCUAAGUCUGAAAUUCUAUGACUGUGUAGCAAAGGACCUGGGUUCAAUUUUGGAUUUGCCACUGACUGGCAGUGAGGAAUUGAGCCAGGCCUUUCCAAACCCCUCUGAAUCUUGGUCUCCUCUUCUGCAAAAUAAAAAAGGUCAGCCUUAAUGAUCUUUAAGUCUAAAUGAUGAUCUCCAGUUCUAAAUCAAUUUUUUUAAUCAAUGAGUGUUUCUUAAGUGCCUUCUACAAGCCAGAUGAUGUGGACAUAAAUGCAAGGAAGGAAAUAAUGUCUAUUAAAGUUUCAUUUAUUUAAUUGCA
Long non-coding RNA from Monodelphis domestica (gray short-tailed opossum), 3197 nucleotides. RefSeq lists it as uncharacterized. NCBI's taxonomy places the organism in Eukaryota, Metazoa, Chordata, Mammalia, Didelphimorphia, Didelphidae. The record is from RefSeq and is a predicted model, not a curated record.